This 1372-nucleotide ribosomal RNA is filed under the name uncultured bacterium. RNAcentral describes it as "bacterial SSU rRNA". It matches the Rfam family "Bacterial small subunit ribosomal RNA", at positions 28 to 1381 of the family's 1533-position model. The record is from RNAcentral.
GAUGAACGCUGGCGGCGUGCCUAAUACAUGCAAGUCGAGCGAACAGACGAGGAGCUUGCUCCUUUGACGUUAGCGGCGGACGGGUGAGUAACACGUGGGUAACCUACCUAUAAGACUGGGAUAACUUCGGGAAACCGGAGCUAAUACCGGAUAAUAUUUCGAACCGCAUGGUUCGAUAGUGAAAGAUGGCUUUGCUAUCACUUAUAGAUGGACCUGCGCCGUAUUAGCUAGUUGGUAAGGUAACGGCUUACCAAGGCAACGAUACGUAGCCGACCUGAGAGGGUGAUCGGCCACACUGGAACUGAGACACGGUCCAGACUCCUACGGGAGGCAGCAGUAGGGAAUCUUCCGCAAUGGGCGAAAGCCUGACGGAGCAACGCCGCGUGAGUGAUGAAGGUCUUCGGAUCGUAAAACUCUGUUAUUAGGGAAGAACAAACGUGUAAGUAACUGUGCACGUCUUGACGGUACCUAAUCAGAAAGCCACGGCUAACUACGUGCCAGCAGCCGCGGUAAUACGUAGGUGGCAAGCGUUAUCCGGAAUUAUUGGGCGUAAAGCGCGCGUAGGCGGUUUUUUAAGUCUGAUGUGAAAGCCCACGGCUCAACCGUGGAGGGUCAUUGGAAACUGGAAAACUUGAGUGCAGAAGAGGAAAGUGGAAUUCCAUGUGUAGCGGUGAAAUGCGCAGAGAUAUGGAGGAACACCAGUGGCGAAGGCGACUUUCUGGUCUGUAACUGACGCUGAUGUGCGAAAGCGUGGGGAUCAAACAGGAUUAGAUACCCUGGUAGUCCACGCCGUAAACGAUGAGUGCUAAGUGUUAGGGGGUUUCCGCCCCUUAGUGCUGCAGCUAACGCAUUAAGCACUCCGCCUGGGGAGUACGACCGCAAGGUUGAAACUCAAAGGAAUUGACGGGGACCCGCACAAGCGGUGGAGCAUGUGGUUCAAUUCGAAGCAACGCGAAGAACCUUACCAAAUCUUGACAUCCUUUGACCCUUCUAGAGAUAGAAGUUUCCCCUUCGGGGGACAAAGUGACAGGUGGUGCAUGGUUGUCGUCAGCUCGUGUCGUGAGAUGUUGGGUUAAGUCCCGCAACGAGCGCAACCCUUAAGCUUAGUUGCCAUCAUUAAGUUGGGCACUCUAGGUUGACUGCCGGUGACAAACCGGAGGAAGGUGGGGAUGACGUCAAAUCAUCAUGCCCCUUAUGAUUUGGGCUACACACGUGCUACAAUGGACAAUACAAAGGGCAGCGAAACCGCGAGGUCAAGCAAAUCCCAUAAAGUUGUUCUCAGUUCGGAUUGUAGUCUGCAACUCGACUACAUGAAGCUGGAAUCGCUAGUAAUCGUAGAUCAGCAUGCUACGGUGAAUAAAAUCCCGGGUCU